RNAcentral lists this ribosomal RNA (842 nucleotides) under uncultured Chloroflexota bacterium. RNAcentral's name for it is "bacterial SSU rRNA". It matches the Rfam family "Bacterial small subunit ribosomal RNA", at positions 28 to 895 of the family's 1533-position model. The record is from RNAcentral. Lineage: Bacteria; Bacillati; Chloroflexota.
GAUAAACGCUGGCGGCGUGCUUUAUGCAUGCAAGUCGAACGGUCUCGAUUUAUCGAGAUAGUGGCGAACGGGUGAGUAACGCGUAAGUAACCUGCCCCCAAGUAGAGGAUAACUCUGAGAAAUUGGAGCUAAUACUGUAGUGGUAAUGGAGGUAAUGCUUCAUUACUAAAGCCUUAGGGCGCUUGGGGAGGGGCUUGCGUCCGAUUAGCUAGUUGGUGGGGUAACGGCUUACCAAGGCGUUGAUCGGUAGCUGGUCUGAGAGGAUGGUCAGCCACACUGGGACUGAGAUACGGCCCAGACUCCUACGGGAGGCAGCUGCAAGGAAUAUUGUGCAAUGGGCGAAAGCCUGACACAGCGACGCCGCGUGGGGGAUGAAGGCUUUCGGGUCGUAAACCCCUUUUCUCAGGGAAGAACAAUGACGGUACCUGAGGAAUAAGUCACGGCUAACUACGUGCCAGCAGCCGCGGUAAUACGUAGGUGGCUAGCGUUAUCCGGAUUUACUGGGCGUAAAGAGGGCGUAGGCGGUCUUACAAGUCAGAUGUAAAAUCUCUCGGCUUAACCGGGAGGGAUCAUUUGAUACUGUUAGACUUGAGGGCAGCAGAAGGAGGUGGAAUUCCCGGUGUAGUGGUGAAAUGCGUAGAUAUCGGGAGGAACACCAGUGGCGAAGGCGGCCUCCUAGGCUGUUACUGACGCUGAGGCCCGAAAGCGUGGGGAGCGAACAGGAUUAGAUACCCUGGUAGUCCACGCCAUAAACGAUGGACACUGGGUAUGGGGAGUAUCGACCCUCUCCGUGCCGAAGCUAACGCGUUAAGUGUCCCGCCUGGGGACACGGCCGCAAGGCU